RNAcentral lists this ribosomal RNA (761 nucleotides) under uncultured Prevotella sp. Its description in RNAcentral is "bacterial SSU rRNA". It matches the Rfam family "Bacterial small subunit ribosomal RNA", at positions 28 to 776 of the family's 1533-position model. The record is from RNAcentral. Lineage: Bacteria; Pseudomonadati; Bacteroidota; Bacteroidia; Bacteroidales; Prevotellaceae.
GAUGAACGCUGGCUACAGGCUUAACACAUGCAAGUCGAGGGGAAACGACAGGGAAGCUUGCUUCCUUGGGCGUCGACCGGCGCACGGGUGAGUAACGCGUAUCCAACCUGCCUCUGACUGAGGGAUAACCCGUCGAAAGUCGGCCUAAUACCUCAUGGCAUCGUCUGCGGGCAUCCAACGACGAUUAAAGAUUUCAUCGGUCAGGGAUGGGGAUGCGUCUGAUUAGCUUGUUGGCGGGGUAACGGCCCACCAAGGCUACGAUCAGUAGGGGUUCUGAGAGGAAGGUCCCCCACAUUGGAACUGAGACACGGUCCAAACUCCUACGGGAGGCAGCAGUGAGGAAUAUUGGUCAAUGGGCGAGAGCCUGAACCAGCCAAGUAGCGUGCAGGAUGACGGCCCUAUGGGUUGUAAACUGCUUUUAUGCGGGGAUAAAGUGAGGGACGUGUCCUUCAUUGCAGGUACCGCAUGAAUAAGGACCGGCCAAUUCCGUGCCAGCAGCCGCGGUAAUACGGAAGGUCCGGGCGUUAUCCGGAUUUAUUGGGUUUAAAGGGAGCGUAGGCCGUGGAUUAAGCGUGUUGUGAAAUGCAGGUGCUCAACGUCUGCACUGCAGCGCGAACUGGUUCACUUGAGUGUGCGCAAUGCAGGCGGAAUUCGUCGUGUAGCGGUGAAAUGCUUAGAUAUGACGAAGAACUCCGAUUGCGAAGGCAGCUUGCGGGAGCACAACUGACGCUGAAGCUCGAAAGUGCGGGGUAUCGAACAGG